AACGAACGCUGGCGGCAUGCCUAACACAUGCAAGUCGAACGAGACCUUCGGGUCUAGUGGCGCACGGGUGCGUAACGCGUGGGAACCUGCCCUUAGGUUCGGAAUAACUCCCCGAAAGGGGUGCUAAUACCGGAUAAUGUCUUCGGACCAAAGAUUUAUCGCCUUUGGAUGGGCCCGCGUUGGAUUAGCUAGUUGGUAGGGUAAAAGCCUACCAAGGCGACGAUCCAUAGCUGGUCUGAGAGGAUGAUCAGCCACACUGGGACUGAGACACGGCCCAGACUCCUGCGGGAGGCAGCAGUGGGGAAUAGUGGACAAUGGGCGAAAGCCUGAUCCAGCAAUGCCGCGUGAGUGAUGAAGGCCUUAGGGUUGUAAAGCUCUUUUACCCGGGAUGAUAAUGACAGUACCGGGAGAAUAAGCACCGGCUAACUCCGUG
This 433-nucleotide ribosomal RNA is filed under the name uncultured bacterium. RNAcentral's name for it is "partial 16S ribosomal RNA". It matches the Rfam family "Bacterial small subunit ribosomal RNA", at positions 29 to 507 of the family's 1533-position model. The record is from RNAcentral.